GGACGAACGCUGGCGGCGUGCUUAACACUUGCAAGUCGAACGGAAAGGCCCUGCUUUUGUGGGGUGCUCGAGUGGCGAACGGGUGAGUAACACGUGAGUAACCUGCCCUUGACUUUGGGAUAACUUCAGGAAACUGGGGCUAAUACCGGAUAGGAGCUCCUGCUGCAUGGUGGGGGUUGGAAAGUUUCGGCGGUUGGGGAUGGACUCGCGGCUUAUCAGCUUGUUGGUGGGGUAGUGGCUUACCAAGGCUUUGACGGGUAGCCGGCCUGAGAGGGUGACCGGCCACAUUGGGACUGAGAUACGGCCCAGACUCCUACGGGAGGCAGCAGUGGGGAAUAUUGCACAAUGGGCGGAAGCCUGAUGCAGCAACGCCGCGUGCGGGAUGACGGCCUUCGGGUUGUAAACCGCUUUCGCCUGUGACGAAGCGUGAGUGACGGUAAUGGGUAAAGAAGCACCGGCUAACUACGUG
Molecule: ribosomal RNA, 469 nt
Filed under: uncultured bacterium
Lineage: Bacteria
Description: partial 16S ribosomal RNA
Rfam family: Bacterial small subunit ribosomal RNA
Source: RNAcentral